RNAcentral lists this ribosomal RNA (251 nucleotides) under uncultured bacterium. Its description in RNAcentral is "partial 16S ribosomal RNA". It matches the Rfam family "Bacterial small subunit ribosomal RNA", at positions 524 to 776 of the family's 1533-position model. The record is from RNAcentral.
UACAGGGGGGGCAAGCGUUGUUCGGAAUUACUGGGCGUAAAGGGCUCGUAGGCGGCCAACUAAGUCAGACGUGAAAUCCCUCGGCUUAACCGGGGAACUGCAUCUGAUACUGGAUGGCUUGAGUUCGGGAGAGGGAUGCGGAAUUCCAGGUGUAGCGGUGAAAUGCGUAGAUAUCUGGAGGAACACCGGUGGCGAAGGCGGCAUCCUGGACCGACACUGACGCUGAGGAGCGAAGCCAGGGAGCAAACGGG